GGAAAGCUGUGUGUAUGAUGCAUGUGUAUGAUGCAUUUAUUCACGAGGACGGAGUGUGAGCGUGCAGCAGCUCAAACACACACACACACACACACACACCUGCUUCUGACUCCUGCCCUUCAGUCAGACUUUCAGCAGGGAGCUAGCGAGCUGGACACUGAGGACGUGCCGGAGUUCCACUCAUGCAAUGCUGUGUUUCUUCGGUGCACACACGUACAGGACCAGAAGACCCUUACUGAACGUUUUCAUCAGGAGUACGUGUCCCGUCACACCCCUGACCGACAGGACUCACAAACACACCUCAAGCAGACCUCGCUUCAUUAGAGUCCAGAUUUACAAAUCAAUGCACAUACUGACAGUAAAUAAAUGUAUUCUGUAAGAAGACGAGCAUUGAAGAAAAUCUCUUGUCUGAUAUGAUUGUUACACAGUAUAAAUAUAUACACAAAUACAAACAAUCCACAUAUCAUGCAGCUUGGACCUAUUAGUCUUUGAAUUUAUUUUUUAAUUAUGAUAUUUUGAAAUGUGCAAAGAUGAUUCAUCAACAUCUUUUAAUCAGAAGGUUUUUAAAAUAAACAUCUAUUGCCUUAUUUUUCUCAUAUCUCAUUAAGGCUAGAGAUAUGGAGUAAAUGUGUGAUCUGCCGGAUCGGGUUCAGUCGGCCUCUUCAUCAUCACAUGAUUCACUCUCUUCUGGUUGCCACAGAAACAUCACUGAAUGUCAAGUUUGGACACUGCGGCGCUUUACAGCCAUCAAGUGCUUCCAAACGAGCAGAGAAUGCACAAUACAGCCGAGAGAACAAUGAAGACAGACGUGAGCAAACAAAGAACUCAAGAUGGAAAGAGUGAAAGAAGCAGGAAAAGAGCAGCAUGUCCUGCAUUUGAGAUUCACUAGUUUAACCAGGCAUGUGUAUGUUGAUCAGUCACUCACACAAGCACUAACCAGUAGUGUGUGAGACACUGGAGGAGGAUGAGGAACUCAGAUGCAUUAUUGUAGUUUUCACUUGGAAACAAUAACAGAAUAAGUGUGUGUUUAGCGGUCGAGAUGCUAGCGUGUGCUAAGAUCUGAAGAAUCGCUCAAAUCUGGAGCUCAAGCAGCGAAUGAUCUCUAAAGACUUCCUCACAACACGCAUGGCGUUUGUUAACCGCUGGCCAGUCGUCAUCGACUGCAUGAAGGCAGUGAAGUGAAAAGCAAAGAUGUGUGAUUCCAGGAAGGCGAUUGCUCAACAGGCCAAUGUUUACAGAAGAAACACAAAAUAACUAAUACGGUCACAUUCUGCUGGCCUGACAUAAGGCCCGUUUCACAUUCGCGCUCCGCCAGUUGGUGCGCUUCCAUCCUGGUCCCUAAGCAACCAUUGAUAAUAAUCAAAUGUCAGGCUUCACUGAUUCGAGACACAAGAGCCUUGGGCCAAAAGUGAAAUAAAUAAUUCAGUUCAGAUCGGAAGAGCUGGAUGAACCUUUGUUCGGUGCAUUUAUAUAAAGAUCAGGGUCAGAUUCAGAACUGAAGAAUCGGCUCCCUUUUAUUCGUAAGUGUGAAUGUGAAUCGACUUGAAAUGACAGGAAGAAGAAUUAUACAAUUCUAAGAUUUGAAUUCAUUUGUCCAACACAAGAUUUGCUGUGCAGGUAAUAUAUAUAUAAUUAUGUAAUUUAUCCCUGAUAUACAGACUCAUGUAUCCUAAAGUAGAUACCGAUAAGACAUUUAAACUGAAGGAUGAACACGUACAGCAGCUACAGGAACACAUCUGAACUCUGUUUGUUUGUGUCCUAAUAUAACUGAAGGAAACACAACCAUGAUUUCAAAGCAUGUUUCAUUCACACACACUCUCUCUCUCUCUCUCUCUCUCUCUCUCACACACACACACACACACACACACACACACACACACACACACUGUCUCUCUCUCUCUCUCAAUUCAAUUCAAUUCAUAUUGCUUUAUUAUAUACAUUUUUAUAAACAUUGAUGGUACUUCUAAUGUAGAUGUGUUCACUCUUUACCUCUUAGUUUGUGGCAUUUGUAAAUAUAAUGUGCU
This is a long non-coding RNA of Carassius gibelio (silver crucian carp), 2024 nucleotides long. RefSeq lists it as uncharacterized. NCBI's taxonomy places the organism in Eukaryota, Metazoa, Chordata, Actinopteri, Cypriniformes, Cyprinidae. The record is from RefSeq and is a predicted model, not a curated record. The transcript has 3 exons.